UACGUAGGGUGCAAGCGUUAAUCGGAAUUACUGGGCGUAAAGCGUGCGCAGGCGGUUUUGUAAGACUGUCGUGAAAUCCCCGGGCUUAACCUGGGAGUUGCGAUGGUGACUGCAAGGCUAGAGUUUGGCAGAGGGGGGUAGAAUUCCACGUGUAGCAGUGAAAUGCGUAGAGAUGUGGAGGAACACCGAUGGCGAAGGCAGCCCCCUGGGUCAAAACUGACGCUCAUGCACGAAAGCGUGGGGAGCAAACAGG
Molecule: ribosomal RNA, 253 nt
Filed under: uncultured bacterium
Lineage: Bacteria
Description: partial 16S ribosomal RNA
Rfam family: Bacterial small subunit ribosomal RNA
Source: RNAcentral